RNAcentral lists this ribosomal RNA (306 nucleotides) under uncultured bacterium. RNAcentral describes it as "partial 16S ribosomal RNA". It matches the Rfam family "Bacterial small subunit ribosomal RNA", at positions 505 to 807 of the family's 1533-position model. The record is from RNAcentral.
GACAGCAGUAGCCACGGUAAUACGAAGGGGGCUAGCGUUGCUCGGAAUGACUGGGCGUAAAGGGCGCGUAGGCGGAUUGCGCAGUCAGAUGUGAAAUUCCUGGGCUUAACCUGGGGGCUGCAUUUGAGACGCGUAGUCUAGAGUGUGAAAGAGGGUCGUGGAAUUCCCAGUGUAGAGGUGAAAUUCGUAGAUAUUAGGAAGAACACCGGUGGCGAAGGCGGCCCACUGGAUCGGUACUGACGCUGAGGUGCGAAAGCGUGGGGAGCAAACAGGAUUAGAUACCCCCGUAGUCCCUGUCUCUUAUAC